Molecule: long non-coding RNA, 706 nt
Organism: Lycium ferocissimum
Lineage: Eukaryota; Viridiplantae; Streptophyta; Magnoliopsida; Solanales; Solanaceae
Exons: 5
Source: RefSeq, a predicted model, not a curated record
UUCCCUCCUAUUUCUUUGCCUUUCCCCCAAAUCUCAUUAUGUCUUUUAUUUUCACUUUUGGGUCUCACCUUGUAGAGUUGCAUCAAACCCUUUUAUCGGUAUUGUUCAUCGUUGGCUUUCACUUUUCUUCCAAUUCUUGGGUUAAGACUUGAGAUGGUAAGAUUCUUUCCCUCUAAUUUCAGUUAAUUUGGCUGGGUAGCAUACCGAUAUACUCGAGACUUUGAUGCCACAAGUUAGGAAGCGUGUAGAUGUUCUAAGAGAGCUUCAAGACAAAUGUGUGAAAAUCAACACAACUAGCAAUCUGGUACAACAAUGCACAAGCUGUUGGAAGAUCUAUCUUGGGUCACUCAACUUUUGUAUUAGAAUUUAGUUUGACAACUCUUUGGGUAAGCUGUGUUGUGUUAAGAAUUCAUAGGAAGGUGCUUUUUCUUACUUUGGACAAAAUAGCAUCUAGAAUACAAUGCAACAAUGAUGAUUAUGCUAAUCAGGAGUUGUUUUCUCUAACUUCAAUCGAGGAAGGAUAAGGUUCUUCAACAACGGGAAAUGAAGUCAGCCACAACUAGAAGUUUGAAGACAACAAAAUAGUUUGGAGACAUUUUAUGUUAUUUUUUGGGUUAUACAUACGUACAAAGAAAAUGGGUUAUAAAUUUAUAAUGUAUACUUUAUAUACUUUAUGUUUUAUUAGCAAUGAAAUAUUCUUAUAUAA